Molecule: unclassified non-coding RNA, 225 nt
Filed under: plant metagenome
Description: partial contains small subunit ribosomal RNA, internal transcribed spacer 1, and 5.8S ribosomal RNA
Source: RNAcentral
UCUCCGUUGGUGAACCAGCGGAGGGAUCAUUACAGGACUCGCAAGACUCCUACAACCCUGUGAACUUAACUAUAAGCACGUUGCUUCGGCGUGGGUCUCGGAGGGGGUUCUCCCUCCCCGGGACGCUAAACCCGCCGGCGGCCUACUUUACUCUGUCUCUUUUCGUUGGCAUCUCGAGUACAAUCAAACAAGUUAAAACUUUCAACAACGGAUCUCUUGGUUCUG